AGGACGAACGCUGGCGGCGUGCUUAACACAUGCAAGUCGAGCGGUAAGGCCUCUUCGGGGGUACACGAGCGGCGAACGGGUGAGUAACACGUGGGUGACCUGCCCUCAGCUCUGGGAUAAGCCUGGGAAACUGGGUCUAAUACUGGAUAUUCACUUCCUAUCGCAUGGUGGGUGGUGGAAAGUUUUUUCGGCUGGGGAUGGGCCCGCGGCCUAUCAGCUUGUUGGUGGGGUGAUGGCCUACCAAGGCGACGACGGGUA
Molecule: ribosomal RNA, 258 nt
Filed under: uncultured soil bacterium
Lineage: Bacteria
Description: partial 16S ribosomal RNA
Rfam family: Bacterial small subunit ribosomal RNA
Source: RNAcentral